RNAcentral lists this long non-coding RNA (3075 nucleotides) under Felis catus (domestic cat). Its description in RNAcentral is "lncRNA (ENSFCAG00000042259.2)". Lineage: Eukaryota; Metazoa; Chordata; Mammalia; Carnivora; Felidae. The record is from RNAcentral.
CUCGGACAUCCCGGGCUUUACGUUCGUGCAACACAGAACAGUAGGUUCAAAGUAUGGGCUCUAGAGCCAACGGUCACAGCUGGAAUCCCUCUCUGCCAGCUGUGUGGCUCUGGCAGGCUUUUUGGCUCCUUUUUGCCUGUUUCCUUGCCCAAAAUGGGGCCGAUAGUCAUUAUCUCAUAAGGUCGUUAUGAAGGUUAAGUAGCAUAAAGCACUUACGUCAUACAGAUCAGCGCCUGUACAGGGCAAGCAAUCAACACAUGUGUGAGUUGUUGCUGUUACCAUUAUCGUCAUCUUUCUCAAGGUUACCACCUUCAUCAUUUCCCCUAACGGGCGCACACAGUAAUGCCAGCUAGGAUUCAGGAACCGGGUUUUCUGUUUUUCAGAGGCGGACGUGGAGGCUCAAAGGGGUGAUAGGCCUGUCCCAAGGUCACGUGGCCAACGAGGGAUGACCUGGGACUCCCCUCCAGGUGUGUCUGACUCCAAGGCCAGUGUGAUAUUUCCACGACACCAGGCUCGGAUGCGGAUCUACGCCAUUUCUCUUCUAAUUCACUCAGGCACUUGUCCUCCUACUUUCAGGGCUCACGGUUCUCAAAGUGGGGGUCCUGGACCAGCAGCCUCUGCGCCACCUGAGAACCCGCUACAGAUGCGAAUUCACAAGCCCCACCUCCACCUCUGAGCUAGUUGUCCAGCAAUCCGGACAAGCUUCCGGAUGAUUCUGAAGCACAUCCUACCAGUCUAGGGCAGAAUCCAGGCUUAGGUACCUGAUGAAACGUCAAAACAAAAAAUUUAACCCACGAGAACUACGACCAGAGACGACACGCGCAGGGCGUGCUGAAAAGGGCACGUCAAUGGGGACGGUGACGGACGGGCUCUGGAGCUUUUGGACAGACGCUUCUCGGGAAAUGAGAGUUGUUAGAAAUGAGGGUCACGCAGAUCUGUAUGAUGAACUGAAACGGAACAACAGCCCAGAUGCCUGUUCAACAAAGAAAAAAGAGCAAUCCACUGUGUUCCUAUUUGUGUGUGCGCAGGACAAUAAACUAGCCGGUUGUGUUCGUGCGCACCUUGUCUGCGUGGCGACCAGAGGACAAGGCAGACAACUGCGAGUGAAGGGAGUCUUUUCUUUCCUUUUUUUUUUUUCCGGAGGAGACUUGUUGAAGUACAGCUGACACGCAAUAUUAUAUUAAUUUCAGGCGUACAACAUAGCGAUUCAACAGUCCUGCACAUUACGCGACGCUCACCAGGGUAAGGGUAGUCACCAUCUGUCACCGUACGAAGGUGGCAAUGAUUACAAUAUUACUGACUAUGGGUCUUUGUACCUCUUAAUACCCUUCACCUAUUUCUGAUGGCCAGCCCUCUUUAUUCCGUCCUGUGGUUGGCAGUCUUUGGCAUCCAGGCUUCUCCAAAUCCCUGCCCAGGAGGAGCUUCCAAUCUAGCGGGUAAGACGGACAAGAGGCAAGGAGGAGACAGUUACAGGGAGGCGGGGUGAGCAGCUUAUGAGCCAGGGCAGAGUAGAAUCCUCAGAGCAAGGCCCUGGUGACCUAGGAGGAGAGGGGAUCGGAUGAUAGUUUGGCAGAAAGAGUGAAGCAUCACCUUGAAGGCAGAGGAGGUGGUCAGGAAGCGAAUCAGGCUGUUUCAUUAGCUGCAGGUGUUUUCAUGCUGGCUGUGUAUGCAUGGGGUAGGAGGGCUGGCAGGGGGACAGGGUGACCAACUGUCCUACUUUUCCAGGACUGACGGGGUCCCUGGGAUUAGAAACUUUCAGUGCUACAACUGGGACAGCUGGUCACCCUCAGGUAGGCGCGGCGGGUAUAUGGCCAGAGGCGAGGCAGGAGAGAGAGGCAGAGUGCAUGUGGGUUUGGGCAGAGAUCGUCUCAGGGAGCGGUGUCGACCAAUGACCUGGCUUGGCUAAAUCAGGUGGCCUGAUGCAGUCACAGCCUCUAUUCCCCCAGUGAUUCUACACUACGUAUCUUCAAAAGGAAGCAUCCGGAAUACCCGAGACUUGCCUAUACACCCUCAGGUUAGUUACACAUCCUACUGCCCAGGUUUACGUAAGACAGCAUCCGUAACCGUUAGAGUCGAUUCAUUUUUCAAGGGUAGAUGAGGGCUUGGUGUGCAAAUCUGUCAUAGCUGGCGCCUGGCACCAGUGGUCCGAGAGCCCCCUCUCCCAUUGUAAUGGCUGGUAUUCAGAGAGCCAGAGAUAAAAUCACCGUUGUGACCAAGACAGAAGAUACGGGCAUCAGCACAGGCACUAGAUGCAUCAGAGGACUGUGAGAUAGGAGACCUUUCCCCCAGGGCCUCUGGCUUCAACUGGGCGUAGCUGAGUGCAGGUGAUUAAAGCUAUUGCCUGUCCCAUAGCUUUUUGAUGACCUAAUGGAAAGAGUGGGUGACCUAAUUCCACAUCUCAGGGGCUCUUGCCUAGCCUCGGGUCUGCCCGAUGACCGGUCUCCAGGGACUGAGUCCAGGCCGGGAUCCUCUGUGCCCGACUCGGCGGAGUGCUUGGCCGCGGAGAUCUGGAGAAUUAUCUGCGGGGCCUCCCCAAACUAAUCACGAAGACGCCCCUGGGCAAGUAUGCCUUUGCCAUAAUUCUCUUUCAAAGGCAGGUUCCAGCCUCACGUGCCUGGUUGUAAAUUGGAGUCUGUGUCCGUUUCUGCAGCCUUUGGGACAAGCCUGGAUCUAGGGGCUGAGAUUUGUUUGGCCUACCGAGGACUUCAGGGCUGAAAAGCCCUUGGAGGUUAUUUGGUUACAUCUUAUUUUGCAGGUAGGUAAACUGAGCUCAGAGGCAGGAAGAUACCUGCCCAAGGUUACUGUUAUGUGUUGAAUUGUGUCCCCCUGAGAAAAAUUCAUUAUGUUGAGGGGACCCUGGGUGACUCAGUCGGUUAAGUGUCCAACUCUUGGUUUCGACUCAGGUCAGACUCUCACGGUUCGUGGGUUCGAGGCCCUCUGGCUCUGGGCUGACGGUGAGGAGCCUGCUUGGGAGUCUGUCUGUCUGUCUGUCUGUCUCUCUGUCCCUCCCACCACUCACUUUCUAUCUCUCUUUCUCCAAAUAAAUAAAUAAACAUUAAAAAAAAUUUUAUGUUG